This 735-nucleotide long non-coding RNA is filed under the name Ananas comosus (pineapple). RNAcentral describes it as "long non-coding RNA (ACOM_LNC002724)". The record is from RNAcentral. Lineage: Eukaryota; Viridiplantae; Streptophyta; Magnoliopsida; Poales; Bromeliaceae.
UGGUAUUAUCUUUCUUUCAAAUAUGAGUUUGAUUGGGAUGCUUCUAAUAACACUAAGCAUUUAAUGCUAUUAAAUUGUUCAUCGUUUGAUUUACUCUUUUGACAAUUUUCAUCCGUUAAAUCAUAUUAUUCAAUCAACCACCUACUCGAUCAUAAAAAAUCACUAUCAUUUUAACCUUAUAUUUCUUCAUCGAAAGGCUAAAAGUCUAAUAACACUAAUAGAUUUGAUGUCAAUAGAAGUAUUUCAGUCUAAUUCUCUCUCUCUCUCUAAAAUUUAUAAUUUAUAAUUUAUAAUUUUAAAUUUUAAAUUUUUAUAUUUAAAUUAUAAAUUUGAUAUUUUUAAUUUUUAAAUUUUAAAUUUAAUUUUUUUAGAUUUUAAAUUUUAAAUUUGAUAUUUUAUAUCUUUCAAAUUUAAAUUUGAUAUUUAAAAUUUAAAAUUUGAAAAUUAAAAGUUUUAAUUUUAAUUUCAAAUUUUUAACUUAAAAUUAUAAGUUUAAAAUUUUAAAUUCAAUUAUAGGGGUGAAAUUAUUAUUUUCUAUCUAUAACUACCAACUAUUCUACAUUAUACUUAUAUUUUCAUCCCAACAUAAUUUUUCUAGUUCCAGUUUAUAUCUAUAUUUUUAUCCAAAUAAAAAAAUAUCUUUUUUUCUAUGAAAAUCAAUACUUAUAUCUAUUCACGGUAUAACUAGUUAUUGCUUAUAACCGAACCAGACGAAGUAUUAAUGCAUAAGUCAAU